Micropterus dolomieu (smallmouth bass) is the source of this 376-nucleotide long non-coding RNA. RefSeq lists it as uncharacterized. The record is from RefSeq and is a predicted model, not a curated record. NCBI's taxonomy places the organism in Eukaryota, Metazoa, Chordata, Actinopteri, Centrarchiformes, Centrarchidae. The transcript is spliced from 3 exons.
CAGCCUUGUACUUGGAGUGCUGUUGGCCUGCUGUAUGACUGUAAUUGUCGUUCUUAUUUUCUACAUAAAUCGAAGGAGAGUUUGCGAACAUUGCAAAGGAGCAAUGAAUGGCACCCAUCUUCUUGGACAUGACAAGUCAACUGUGGACCAAACAACUGAUUUGGAUGGUGAAGCAGUGAACUAUGCAGCACUGGAUUUCUCCACAAGGAAACUGAAAAGAGGGAGAAAAAAGGGAGAUUUGCCACAAGAGUGUGUGUACUCUGUUGUUAGAACAGAUUACCACAAUCAACAACACCCCUACCUAUAGGCAGAGCACGGCCUAUGCGCUCCACACUGGAUCUUGAUUUAACUGGUGAGAAAAAGAGAGAGUGACCGA